This 68-nucleotide transfer RNA is filed under the name Hylurgus ligniperda. RNAcentral describes it as "tRNA-Lys". Lineage: Eukaryota; Metazoa; Arthropoda; Insecta; Coleoptera; Curculionidae. The record is from RNAcentral.
CAUUAGAUGGCCGACAAUAAGCACUGGUCUCUUAAACCAUCACAUAGUAAAUAAUUUACUUCUAAUGA